CAAAAUAUAAUUUAUAAAAAAUAUUAAUUUUGGAGAUUAAAAAAAUUUAGAAUUAAAUUAUUUUGA
RNAcentral lists this transfer RNA (66 nucleotides) under Cerceris sp. SJW-2017. RNAcentral describes it as "tRNA-Pro". The record is from RNAcentral. Lineage: Eukaryota; Metazoa; Arthropoda; Insecta; Hymenoptera; Crabronidae.